CCCUACGGGGUGCAGCAGGCGCGAAACCUCUACAAUGCGCGAAAGCGUGAUAGGGGGAUACUCAGUGCUUACGCUUAUGGUGUAGGCUUUUAUCGAGUGUAGAGAGCUCGGUGAAUAAGUGGUGGGUAAGACCGGUGCCAGCCGCCGCGGUAACACCGGCGCCACGAGUGGUCGUCACGAUUAUUGGGCCUAAAGCGUUCGUAGCCUGUUUGGUAAAUCUCUUGUGAAAUUGUUCGGCUUAACCGGACAGCGUGCAGGAGACACUGCCAGACUCGAGACCGGGAGGGGUCAGAGGUAUUCCGUGGGGACCGGUAAAAUGGGAUAAUCCACGGAGGACCACCGAUGGCGAAGGCAUCUGACCAGAACGGAUCUGACGGUGAGGAACGAAAGCCAGGGGAGCGAACCGGAUUAGAUACCCGAGUAGUCCUGGCCGUAAACGCUGUGAGCUAGGUGUUGCAUAUCUCAAGAAGAUGUACAGUGUCGAAACGAAGGUGAUAAGCUCACCGCCUGGGAAGUACGGUCGCAAGACUGAAACUUUAAGGAAUUGUCAAUGAGCAC
RNAcentral lists this ribosomal RNA (558 nucleotides) under uncultured archaeon. Its description in RNAcentral is "bacterial SSU rRNA". It matches the Rfam family "Archaeal small subunit ribosomal RNA", at positions 321 to 879 of the family's 1478-position model. The record is from RNAcentral.